Nicotiana tabacum (common tobacco) is the source of this 2720-nucleotide non-coding RNA. The record is from RefSeq and is a predicted model, not a curated record. Lineage: Eukaryota; Viridiplantae; Streptophyta; Magnoliopsida; Solanales; Solanaceae.
AGGCAAAAAUUGCCGAACCACGUAAAUCUUGUCUUGUCUUGUCUUGUGCAAUUUAUUGUUUCUCUCCUAAAUAUCCUUUUCCUUCUAUUAUCUUGACACACUUCCUCAACACUGCCAUAGUUCAUUUUUCACAUCUUUAAACUUCAUGGGAAAGAAUUUCAACACUGCCGGAAUUUUAUUCCACGGUUGGAACAAACUGCAGGUAUAACAGCAGACUGGAUAAAAGUAUAUAUUAGUGAACAUUAGUGUGUGUACUCAAUCGGGAACAGUGCCAUUUUAUACUUAAUUAACUCAUUGAUUAGUUAAAUGAAAAACAUUAGUGUGUAUACAACAAUCAGUUAAGAUGGUGCAAGUGGUAUGUUCCAAUGCUAUCUCACAGUGCCAAAUAUCCAGUACUUCUCUUCCACCUUCCCCUUUUAAGCUAUCUGUGUUCUUGAGUUGAUAACCAGAGAAUACUUUUGCAGUCAUGCUUUGUGUCAUGGUAACCGUAUAUCAUGACUAAAUAAUGUUGUUUUCUUUCUGGCUGUUCUUUGAUUUUCUUCAACCUACUAGCUUAUCCAUCCACAGGAAACAUUUAUUUGGAGAAGUGUGUUGAACCUGAACUGAGAAAAGCCGCGGAAUGUUUUACACUGGCUGGAUGCUAUGAGAAGGCAGCAGAAAUUUACGCAAAAGGUAGUUAUAUCUCAGAGUGCUUGUCAGUUUGCACCAAAGCAAAAUGUUUUGACUUGGGUUUGAAAUAUGUCGAGCAACAUGCUGCUCAGGGUAAUAUUGUGGGGAAAGAAGGUAAUGUAAUUGAAAAAAUUAAGGAGUUCCUGGAGAAUUGUGCAACUGAUUAUUUUAACCUCAACGACAGAGGAUCCAUGAUGAAAUUUGUUAAAGCAUUCCCUUCAGUGGACAUGAAACGCAUUUGAAGUCUGUGAAGUGCCUUCAUGAGCUGCUCUUUUUAGAAGAAGAAUUAGGAAACUUCACCAUAGCUGCAGAUAUAAGGAAUUUCUUAAAUGAGUCGAAAAACCUUGACUCUAGGAGAUACUUUGAGAAAGUUUUCCCCCUCGACCCCCGGGAGUCGUUGCUCGAGAAGAAAAUGGUUUCUCUAAGGAGAAGCGAGUUUUCCUUUGACUUACUCCAGGAAUUCAUCCGAGAAGAUAUAGGGAAAAGAGGUCGGUUGAGCUAUGGACAAAUUGGGAGGAUCGUGAUGAUAUGGCUUGCCUCGAGAAAACCUUCGGAAGAUCUGUACAAGAACAUUGUUGGAAGAAUUCCAACAGCACCAUGGAAGUCAUUAUUGGAAAUUCUUAGCUCCGCAGAAGGAUGUCAAAGUGGACCGGUGGAGAUUAAAUUAGUUAAGACAUUUCAUGAAGCUUUACAAGAGACCUUUGCUGCGUGUUUGACCGGACAGGAGGACCCUAUAUCCCCCGCUUGUUUAUUGUAUCUGAUCGAGCGGUUUUUGAUUUUGGUGACGCAAUUAUGUAGGCAAGGAACCUUUUUUACUUCAAGAUCCUCAUUCAUGGAAUGGCUUGUUUCUGAGCAAUUUGUUGCUGUACCCACUUCACCGCUUGCAAAAGACAUGAGCCUGUUGGAAAAAAUUUACGAUUCUAUCCUUGUGAUGGUGAAAGUAUUCAUUUAUGAUAAAUCUACCACUUUUGAUUGGAUUUCACGAUCCAAAAUAAAGGAUGGUGUUGCAUACUAUAAGAUUUUAGUUUGGAGAUCGGUUUCCCUCUUGAUCUUAAUGGUUUUGAAUGUUGGUGCUGCGAAGUACCAUGCUGAAUUGGCCAAUGUGCUAGGUAAUGAUGACAGCUGGAAUCACAUUAGAGGGGACUUGCUGGAAUCCCUUGUCACUCUUAAGAGUAGCCUUGCCAAUGUUGGUGAAAUCUCACUCGAUGCGAUGGGACAAACUUUUCGAAUUGCAAAAGAUGCUCUUUUCUUUGUCAACCGGCAAGGGACUGCUGCUCCGAAGUAUGCUAAUAAUAUCACGUGGGUGCAAUUGGGAACAAACCGCCAGAGGGAAGCGAUUAUAGAGAUCGCGUCAGUAACCGGGUCAGACAAGAAAGUACAAAUGAAUUGGGCAGUCUUUCAGGAAUAUCUGAUCUUUUGAAGCAAAAUGAUGGAACUUCUGCUAAUACCUUGAUGAAGGGGGGAAUAAAUGCAAACAUAAAAUUCUUGACUGCUGCAAUUACUCUGCUCGGGGAGAAGAAACCUUACGCUGGUGAGGCGAUGAUUAAGGAAGUGCACAGUAUGCUUCAGGAACUGAAACAGCUGCAUUCAUUGUUGGAUACAAGUGAUUCAGAAACAACAAGCAUUGAAGGACUGUUGAAGAGCUUGUUGUCAAGAAAGCCCAAGCUAGAAUCUUUGUUGAAUCAGUGCAUUGUACCCAAGGGUAGCAGUGAGGAAAAAGUCGAUGCAUUGAGUGGUGAACUCGAGAAAAUGGAAAUGACAUCUGCCUCUACCGAGUCCGGAAGCAGUAACCAGGGUGCUAAAAAGACACAGCAGAAAGGGAAGGGCAAUUCCAAAAACUCUAAGAAGGGUAAAAAGAAGUAAAUCAACAUGGCAACAAUUAUAUAUUGAUAGGAUAAGCUGAGAGCUCUCAUACCUAGUACUCCCUUUUUAAGGUUUAAGUGAACUCUUUUAUGGGCUUAUCUGUUGCUGUAGGUUAAAAGACAUUUUAAGCCGACAAAUCAUCUAUACUAUAUUAAAAGCACGAAUGCCCUUAGCGAAAUGUCGUUCGC